AUCCACGUGGAGAAAUGGUAACUCGUCGACCUCCUAAAUAAGUGAGUCGAAGAUUUGCGGGUUCGAGUCCCGUCGUGGAUG
This 81-nucleotide transfer RNA is filed under the name Eutypa lata. RNAcentral's name for it is "tRNA-Arg". It matches the Rfam family "tRNA". From Rfam's summary of the family: Transfer RNA (tRNA) molecules are approximately 80 nucleotides in length. Lineage: Eukaryota; Fungi; Ascomycota; Sordariomycetes; Xylariales; Diatrypaceae. RNAcentral also lists the same sequence under 1 other name. The record is from RNAcentral.